AGAGUUUGAUCAUGGCUCAGAACUAACGCUGGCGGCGUGCCUAACACAUGCAAGUCGUACGAGAAAGUUGGCUUCGGCCGAUGAGUAAAGUGGCGCACGGGUGAGUAAUGCGUGGAUAAUCUGCCCUUUAGUUGGGAAUAACGUACCGAAAGGUGCGCUAAUACCUGAUAAUACUGCAUAACUACUGUUGUGUAGUCAAAGAAGGCCUCUGUUUACAAGCUUUUGCUGAAGGAUGAGUCCGCGUACCAUUAGCUGGUUGGUGGGGUAAUGGCCUACCAAGGCUACGAUGGUUAGCUGGUCUGAGAGGAUGAUCAGCCACACUGGAACUGAGACACGGUCCAGACUCCUACGGGAGGCAGCAGUGAGGAAUAUUGCGCAAUGGGGGCAACCCUGACGCAGCAACGCCGCGUGAGUGAGGAAGGUUUUCGGACCGUAAAGCUCUGUCGAGCGGGAAGAAAUGUAUCAUGGCUAAUAUCCAUGAUACUUGACGGUACCGCUAAAGGAAGCACCGGCUAACUCCGUGCCAGCAGCCGCGGUAAUACGGGGGGUGCGAGCGUUGUUCGGAAUUAUUGGGCGUAAAGAGCGUGUAGGCGGCUGGAUCAGUCAG
This 607-nucleotide ribosomal RNA is filed under the name uncultured Syntrophus sp. Its description in RNAcentral is "bacterial SSU rRNA". It matches the Rfam family "Bacterial small subunit ribosomal RNA", at positions 8 to 591 of the family's 1533-position model. Lineage: Bacteria; Pseudomonadati; Thermodesulfobacteriota; Syntrophia; Syntrophales; Syntrophaceae. The record is from RNAcentral.